RNAcentral lists this ribosomal RNA (504 nucleotides) under uncultured bacterium. Its description in RNAcentral is "partial 16S ribosomal RNA". It matches the Rfam family "Bacterial small subunit ribosomal RNA", at positions 29 to 523 of the family's 1533-position model. The record is from RNAcentral.
AUUGAACGCUGGCGGCACGCCUAACACAUGCAAGUCGAGCGGCAGCGUGCUUAGUAGCAAUACUAAGUGAUGGCGAGCGGCGGACGGGUGAGGAACACGUAGGAACAUACCCAGAAGCGGGGGACAACUAAGGGAAACUUUAGCUAAUACCGCGUAACCUCGAGAGAGGAAAGCUACCCGCAAGGGCGGCGCUUUUGGAGUGGCCUGCGUCCGAUUAGCUAGUUGGUAGGGUAAAAGCCUACUAAGGCAAUGAUCGGUAACUGGUCUGAGAGGACGACCAGUCACACUGGGACUGAGACACGGCCCAGACUCCUACGGGAGGCAGCAGUGGGGAAUAUUGGACUAUGGGGGCAACCCUGAUCCAGCGAUGCCGCGUGGGUGAAGAAGGCCUUCGGGUUGUAAAGCCCUUUAGGUUGGGACGAAGGAUGGCAGUUUAAGAGAUAGCCAUUUUGACGGUACCGACAGGAUAAGCACCGGCAAACUCUGUGCCAGCAGCCGCAGUAA